CAGGGAAUAUAUCAAUGUAGAUUAUCUGCUUUGGGAGUAGAAGGUUGUGGGUUCAAGUCCCAUUCCCCUGA
Molecule: transfer RNA, 71 nt
Filed under: Topsentia ophiraphidites
Lineage: Eukaryota; Metazoa; Porifera; Demospongiae; Suberitida; Halichondriidae
Description: tRNA-Pro
Rfam family: tRNA
About the family: Transfer RNA (tRNA) molecules are approximately 80 nucleotides in length. Their secondary structure includes four short double-helical elements and three loops (D, anti-codon, and T loops).
Source: RNAcentral